GCCAGCAUGGUGUAGUGGUUUGAGCAUUGGACUAUAACUUUGAAGACCGGGGUUCAAUUCUCCACUUGGUCA
Phrynosoma platyrhinos (Desert horned lizard) is the source of this 72-nucleotide non-coding RNA. Lineage: Eukaryota; Metazoa; Chordata; Lepidosauria; Squamata; Phrynosomatidae. The record is from the annotation of a GenBank genome assembly.